CAGAAAGGAAAGGAAGUCAUUAUAGUUGAUGAACAAGAAGAUGCCAGUGGCCUGAGCAGUAACGGGGUGAGAUGCAGGGGCCCUGAACAGUGGGAGGGUUCGGGAUGAACUUUCUCAAAAACAACUUGCCAAGUACAUUUCAAGACUCUAGACAGAAAUUAAAAACAAACCAACAAAACAAAACAGAAAACAGAAAAACCCCAGUCUAUGAGAGGGUGAGCCUCUCAUAGAUGUGGUUGACCAUCUGAGGGCAAGGACCCCAGGAGGUGAGGGUGUGGGUGGGAGCAAAGGGAGAGGCCAGGAAGGAGGAGCACUGAAGCCACUCUGCCCCAGGUGACCUCCUCAGUCAUAGCUGCCCCCUCAUGCAGCACAGAGCACAGGAAACAGAGCCCUGAGGUGGACCAUUUAGGGUUGGCCAUCCCUGCUUCGGGGACGGGAUAUAAGCAGAGGCCCCAGUAAUCCUUGUCAGGGUUUUCUAUGUCUUAGAAAACCUCAGUUUCACUUGCUAGGAAAUGAAUAAAGUCUUGUAGAAAUGAAUUAAUACUGCCUGUAUUCAAUCCUCUAGGAACCAGCCUCCAGGUAAAAGAACUGCCAUUUUUGUUGCCUGUUCUGAUCACAUAUAAAUAUGAAGGAUCUGCUGUGUAUCUACAAAGCAAUGAUGAGAGAACAAUCACCAGACUGAGCCUUUGUGAUGUGUCCUGCCAGGCACUCUGUUUUAUCAUUGCUACUCUUCACAGCUACGGGAUAAAAACCGAGAACCCUGGACCAGCGCUAAGCGAAACUGAGAGAAAUCCAACACAGGAAUCUUCCUGAAAAAAGAGUGGAGGUGCACGUACCUACAUACACAUACUGAGAUCAGUAAGAAUAACUUAGAAUCAUGGACUUUGAGAACCAGAUAGGACUGUGGUGAGCACCGUACAACUGGAGAGACUGAACGACCUGCUACGCUAAAAAGAUGGCAAAACAGGUCUCCAUUUGGAUUCAACAGACAGUCUUUCCCCAGAGUGGAGCACGUCCCUGGCACAGCUGUCACAUGUUUCUAUGACACGCACAGGAGCACCUGAGCAGGGAGUCAGGUGUUUUGAUGUCCUCUACCCGAUCAGCACUGCCAUUGUGCUCUGCUGGCUUCGUGUCCUUCCUGGGGGUGUCCACAGC
Balaenoptera musculus (blue whale) is the source of this 1155-nucleotide long non-coding RNA. RefSeq lists it as uncharacterized. The record is from RefSeq and is a predicted model, not a curated record. NCBI's taxonomy places the organism in Eukaryota, Metazoa, Chordata, Mammalia, Artiodactyla, Balaenopteridae. The transcript is spliced from 5 exons.